GGAGGGCCAUUUGUCUGAGAACAUUCCUCCUUGUGGAUCACCAGGGUUGGUGUGGCUGAUCUGUCUGGCUAGGCAAGCGGCCCCUUCCUAUUUCAUCACUCCAUGGGCAUCCCUCUUGUGGUUGUAAGCUGGCCAACCUUCCCAGAGAGAAGGAAGACCAUUCUUCAGCCAACAGCCUGCACGUACCUGCAUCCCCCUACUAGAACUUAUGAACAACCUUUCAGAAGCACUCUCCAGUGGAGCUGCACUGGGACCUCCACCCAGCAAACCGUCUCAUCCUGCCCUGGUGGAAUCCAAUGAGCCCAGAAGCAUGCAGA
Unclassified non-coding RNA from Cricetulus griseus (Chinese hamster), 317 nucleotides. Its record names the gene 7SK. It matches the Rfam family "7SK RNA". From Rfam's summary of the family: 7SK was discovered as an abundant small nuclear RNA in the mid-70s but a possible function has only recently been suggested. Two independent studies have found that 7SK RNA binds the CDK9/cyclin T complex (known as elongation factor P-TEFb). The record is from Ensembl. NCBI's taxonomy places the organism in Eukaryota, Metazoa, Chordata, Mammalia, Rodentia, Cricetidae.